GUUGUGGCGAGGGAGGGCCGGGGCUGGAAGGAGCGUCAUGGGACCAGCCAGUAAAAUUCCACUACUCUCCGAGGCCGAUUGGGAGGCAAUUUAAAAACCCUGGGCUUUUUCCAGCCCCAGUGUUGUGGAUGACUCUGUGUCCCCUCAGGUAUGUCGAUCUGUAUGGGAAAUCAGGAAGAAUGAUUAUUAAUAACUGGAAAAAAAAACCCCUAUUAUUAUCUUUCCAUGCCCAAUGCCAUGCUGAACCCGCCCUGCCUGCUUCUGCAAGCCAGCGAGGCUGCUGGAUUUUCUGGAAGGGUAUUGGGUUGCUAAGCAACAGCGCUGGCAGCACCCAUCAUGCCCAGCAAUGUCAGCGCCUGAGUGUGGCCUGCAGAGCACACUUGCUCCCCUCCCCCUCGCCUCUCUCGACCUCCUCCCCCAUGAGAACGUUCAUUUGCAUCUCAGGGACAGGAGCUGUGCCAGGUGAUUCUGUGUAUAAAACAGCGCAGCGCAGCCCCUGAAGCGCAGAUAUUGUUUGGGGUUGCAAGGCAGUGCCUGUGAUGCGGUUGAAAACAGACUCAUUUGUGUUCACUCCCCACGUAAGGAGUGUCGGCUUCACUUAAAAGCCGGUGCAUCAAACACUCCUUUCUAAUACGUCCCGGUGUGCUCCGCCUUUAAGUGUUUUCUUCCUGUCUGCCCGUCCAGCAUCUCAUUUAUGCCCCAUUUUGUCCCUCUCUCUCCUUCCCUUUGUUCUGUGGUCUCCUGGGUGACGGAGUUAGUGUUUGUGUGUAGGGACGUGUGGAGAAGAGGGAGGCGGGUUUUAGAGGUGAGAGGGCCCUGUGGCUAACGGUGGGAGGCCGCUGUUGACAAGGCCUGUGCUGUGGCAGUUUUGCUGCGGAAGUGGCCAUUCUUCUGGGCAGGACUCCACCCGAGCACCAUCUAUCGGUCCCUUUCACUUCCUGUGAAGAGGCAGCGGGCUUCGCGAGCUGGGGAAGUCCCAGGGGCGGCCUUCGGGGUUGACAGACCUGGACCCAAACCCUUUCUCUUCCCCUAACCCGCUUUGGCAUCUUGGCAAGUGACUGUCCCCAUUUCUGAAAAGGAUGUUCACAGUGGACUGGAGAUCCUGGGGGUCCUUUCCUUUGUGGAGGUUAUCAAUAUCAGAAUGGAGUCACUUAUGUCAAACCCUAACAAAAUGAAGGCGAAGGCCAUGAAGAACAAGGCUACGUGCAUAUAUGCCUGCAACAGGACUUGUCACAAGGAAUCCCUGCACAUAUGACAGGGACUAUGCCAGGAACUCCUCAAAUAUACAGGAUUUGAGAUAGACUGGGAACUCCAUGAGGUCCGAGACAACCUGAAGACUCCCACCUCACCAAAAACUGGCUACAGCAAUCACUUAGUAACUAUCUGUUGAAUUGGACCUAAUAGAAUAGCUGCAGAAUUUUAAACAAGUCACCAUCAGUGGAUUCCUCAAAGCAAACCCGGAAAUCUCGACAUGAGUCUGAUUUGAGGCAGUACAUUUUCAGCUCCUCAAAAUGUGAACAGUUUCCCAAGAGAACAACUUGAAACAGAAAGGGGAGGAUGUAGAUGCGAUUGUAGAAGAUGAUGUCUAAGGCCACCAAUUGUCCACUGUGAAGAUAAACCAUGCAUGGUUAGUUGCUGGUGACUCCCCUUCCUGUGGGGAGUCCCACUGCUUCCCUGGCCUGGGAGUUCUCUGCCAGUAGAUGUUAUUGACAAAAUAAGCAAAGUCCCCUGAUUCAGAGAAUGAGAGUUUCUGAUAGCUCUAGAUUGCCUCUGCCAUGCUAUUUACACUCCUGCUUUAUUGUCCAAUACGAGUUCAACAUCUAUGAGGAUUUGUCCAGUGCAAGUCCUGAAAGAUAUCACCAGCACACCUUGUCACUGUGCUGUCGUGAUCUAGGCAGUACAAUAAUGUUGGCAGGACCCUGUUUAGGUGGAGGAUGGCUACCUGGGCAUCAAGAAUCUUCUACUUUGAUUCCACAUUGAUUCCUCAAAGUGGGCUUCAGACAACUCUUCACUACAUCUUCCAAUUAAAGCAGUUGAUGGGCAUCCUAGCUAGAGAAAAGUCCUGGGAGCA
This is a long non-coding RNA of Sapajus apella (tufted capuchin), 2071 nucleotides long. RefSeq lists it as uncharacterized. The record is from RefSeq and is a predicted model, not a curated record. Lineage: Eukaryota; Metazoa; Chordata; Mammalia; Primates; Cebidae. The transcript is spliced from 3 exons.